Molecule: non-coding RNA, 84 nt
Filed under: Pseudomonas fulva
Lineage: Bacteria; Pseudomonadati; Pseudomonadota; Gammaproteobacteria; Pseudomonadales; Pseudomonadaceae
Also listed under: 1 other name
Description: SAH sequence
Rfam family: SAH (S-adenosyl-L-homocysteine) riboswitch aptamer
Source: RNAcentral
CUGUCCGAGGGGCGCUGCAGCAAGCAUUGGCUUGUCAGGCUCGGAUGGGGCGUUUAGCAAACGCAUCAACGGCGCCCACUCGAC